RNAcentral lists this ribosomal RNA (251 nucleotides) under uncultured prokaryote. RNAcentral describes it as "partial 16S ribosomal RNA". It matches the Rfam family "Bacterial small subunit ribosomal RNA", at positions 525 to 775 of the family's 1533-position model. The record is from RNAcentral.
ACGUAGGGUGCGAGCGUUGUCCGGAAUUACUGGGCGUAAAGAGCUCGUAGGCGGUUUGUCACGUCGUCUGUGAAAUCCCUCGGCUUAACCGGGGGCGUGCAGGCGAUACGGGCAGACUUGAGUACUACAGGGGAGACUGGAAUUCCUGGUGUAGCGGUGAAAUGCGCAGAUAUCAGGAGGAACACCGGUGGCGAAGGCGACUUGCUGGGCCUGAACUGACGCUCAGACGCGAAAGCAUGGGGAGCGAACGG